RNAcentral lists this ribosomal RNA (478 nucleotides) under uncultured bacterium. RNAcentral describes it as "bacterial SSU rRNA". It matches the Rfam family "Bacterial small subunit ribosomal RNA", at positions 28 to 507 of the family's 1533-position model. The record is from RNAcentral.
GACGAACGCUGGCGGCGUGCCUAACACAUGCAAGUCGAACGGAGAGGACAUGAAGUAUUUCGGUACGGAAUGCUCUCUUAGUGGCGAACGGGUGAGUAACACGUGGGCAACCUGCCCCAGACUGGGGGAUAACAUUGUGAAAAACAGUGCUAAUACCGCAUGACAGGGUUCCGGGCAUCCGGGACCCUUGAAAGGAGAAAUCCGGUCAGGGAUGGGCCCGCGUCCAAUUAGCUAGUUGGCGGGGUAACGGCCACCAAGGCGACGAUUGGUAGCCGAACUGAGAGGUUGAUCGGCCACAUUGGGACUGAGACACGGCCCAGACUCCUACGGGAGGCAGCAGUGGGGAAUAUUGGGCAAUGGGCGAAAGCCUGACCCAGCGACGCCGCGUGAAGGAUGAAGGUCUUCGGAUUGUAAACUUCUUUGAUCAGGGAAGAAAGAAAUGACGGUACCUGAAAAACAAGCCACGGCUAACUACGUG